This 494-nucleotide ribosomal RNA is filed under the name uncultured bacterium. Its description in RNAcentral is "partial 16S ribosomal RNA". It matches the Rfam family "Bacterial small subunit ribosomal RNA", at positions 28 to 507 of the family's 1533-position model. The record is from RNAcentral.
GACGAACGCUGGCGGCGUGCUUAACACAUGCAAGUCGAACGGUGAAGCGCCUUCCUUUUUGGUGGGUGUGGAUGAGUGGCGAACGGGUGAGUAACACGUGAGUAACCUGCCCCCUUCUUCUGGAUAACCGCAUGAAAGUGUGGCUAAUACGGGAUAUUCUGGGUCUGUCGCAUGAUGGGUCUGGGAAAGAUAUUGUUUCGGUGGGGGAUGGGCUCGCGGCCUAUCAGCUUGUUGGUGGGGUGAUGGCCUACCAAGGCGGUGACGGGUAGCCGGCCUGAGAGGGUGGACGGUCCCACUGGGACUGAGACACGGCCCAGACUCCUACGGGAGGCAGCAGUGGGGAAUAUUGCACAAUGGGCGCAAGCCUGAUGCAGCGACGCCGCGUGAGGGAUGGAGGCCUUCGGGUUGUGAACCUCUUUCGCCAGUGAAGCAGGCCUGCCUCGUUUGUGGGUGGGUUGACGGUAGCUGGAGAAGAAGCGCCGGCUAACUACGUG